UGGGGAAUAUUGGACAAUGGGCGCAAGCCUGAUCCAGCCAUGCCGCGUGAGUGAUGAAGGCCUUAGGGUUGUAAAGCUCUUUCGACGGGGACGAUAAUGACGGUACCCGUAGAAGAAGCCCCGGCUAACUUCGUGCCAGCAGCCGCGGUAAUACGAAGGGGGCUAGCGUUGCUCGGAAUCACUGGGCGUAAAGGGCGCGUAGGCGGACGUUUAAGUCAGAGGUGAAAGCCCAGGGCUCAACCCUGGAAUGGCCUUUGAUACUGGACGUCUUGAGUCUGGUAGAGGUUGGUGGAACUGCGAGUGUAGAGGUGAAAUUCGUAGAUAUUCGCAAGAACACCGGUGGCGAAGGCGGCCAACUGGACCAGAACUGACGCUGAGGCGCGAAAGCGUGGGGAGCAAACAGGAUUNGAUACCCUGGUAGUCCACGCCGUAAACGAUGGAUGCUAGCCGUUGGCCGGUUUACCGGUCAGUGGCGCAGCUAACGCGUUAAGCAUCCCGCCUGGGGAGUACGGCCGCAAGGUUAAAACUCAAAUGAA
This 536-nucleotide ribosomal RNA is filed under the name uncultured bacterium. Its description in RNAcentral is "partial 16S ribosomal RNA". It matches the Rfam family "Bacterial small subunit ribosomal RNA", at positions 355 to 909 of the family's 1533-position model. The record is from RNAcentral.